GACGAACGCUGGCGGCGUGCUUAACACAUGCAAGUCGAACGGUAAGGCCCUUCGGGGUACACGAGUGGCGAACGGGUGAGUAACACGUGGGUGAUCUGCCCUGCACUUCGGGAUAAGCCUGGGAAACUGGGUCUAAUACCGGAUAGGACCACUGCCUGCAUGGGUGGUGGUGGAAAGCUUUUGCGGUGUGGGAUGGGCCCGCGGCCUAUCAGCUUGUUGGUGGGGUGAUGGCCUACCAAGGCGACGACGGGUAGCCGGCCUGAGAGGGUGACCGGCCACACUGGGACGGAGAGACGGCCCAGAGUGCUCCGGGAGGCAGCAGUGGGGAAUAUUGCACAAUGGGCGCAAGCCUGAUGCAGCGACGCCGCGUGAGGGAUGACGGCCUUCGGGUUGUAAACCUCUUUCAGCACCGACGAAGCGCAAGUGACGGUAGGUGCAGAAGAAGGACCGGCCAACUACGUGCCAGCCGCCGCCGUAA
RNAcentral lists this ribosomal RNA (478 nucleotides) under uncultured bacterium. RNAcentral describes it as "partial 16S ribosomal RNA". It matches the Rfam family "Bacterial small subunit ribosomal RNA", at positions 28 to 523 of the family's 1533-position model. The record is from RNAcentral.